This 497-nucleotide ribosomal RNA is filed under the name uncultured bacterium. Its description in RNAcentral is "partial 16S ribosomal RNA". It matches the Rfam family "Bacterial small subunit ribosomal RNA", at positions 28 to 507 of the family's 1533-position model. The record is from RNAcentral.
GACGAACGCUGGCGGCGUGCCUAAUACAUGCAAGUUGAGCGCUGAAGGUUGGUACUUGUACCAACUGGAUGAGCAGCGAACGGGUGAGUAACGCGUGGGGAAUCUGCCUUUGAGCGGGGGACAACAUUUGGAAACGAAUGCUAAUACCGCAUAAAAACUUUAAACACAAGUUUUAAGUUUGAAAGAUGCAAUUGCAUCACUCAAAGAUGAUCCCGCGUUGUAUUAGCUAGUUGGUGAGGUAAAGGCUCACCAAGGCGAUGAUACAUAGCCGACCUGAGAGGGUGAUCGGCCACAUUGGGACUGAGACACGGCCCAAACUCCUACGGGAGGCAGCAGUAGGGAAUCUUCGGCAAUGGACGAAAGUCUGACCGAGCAACGCCGCGUGAGUGAAGAAGGGUUUCGGAUCGUAAGACUCUGUUGGUAGAGAAGAACGUUGGUGAGAGUGGAAAGCUCAUCAAGUGACGGUAACUACCCAGAAAGGGACGGCUAACUACGUG